RNAcentral lists this ribosomal RNA (511 nucleotides) under uncultured bacterium. RNAcentral describes it as "partial 16S ribosomal RNA". It matches the Rfam family "Bacterial small subunit ribosomal RNA", at positions 28 to 506 of the family's 1533-position model. The record is from RNAcentral.
GACGAACGCUGGCGGCGUGCCUAAUACAUGCAAGUCGAGCGAGCGGAACUAACAGAUUUACUUCGGUAAUGACGUUAGGAAAGCGAGCGGCGGAUGGGUGAGUAACACGUGGGGAACCUGCCCCAUAGUCUGGGAUACCACUUGGAAACAGGUGCUAAUACCGGAUAAGAAAGCAGAUCGCAUGAUCAGCUUUUAAAAGGCGGCGUAAGCUGUCGCUAUGGGAUGGCCCCGCGGUGCAUUAGCUAGUUGGUAAGGUAAAGGCUUACCAAGGCGAUGAUGCAUAGCCGAGUUGAGAGACUGAUCGGCCACAUUGGGACUGAGACACGGCCCAAACUCCUACGGGAGGCAGCAGUAGGGAAUCUUCCACAAUGGACGCAAGUCUGAUGGAGCAACGCCGCGUGAGUGAAGAAGGUUUUCGGAUCGUAAAGCUCUGUUGUUGGUGAAGAAGGAUAGAGGUAGUAACUGGCCUUUAUUUGACGGUAAUCAACCAGAAAGUCACGGCUAACUACGU